This 477-nucleotide ribosomal RNA is filed under the name uncultured organism. Its description in RNAcentral is "partial 16S ribosomal RNA". It matches the Rfam family "Bacterial small subunit ribosomal RNA", at positions 330 to 799 of the family's 1533-position model. The record is from RNAcentral.
CGUACACUCCUGCGGGAGGCAGCAGUAGGGAAUCUUCCACAAUGGGUGCAAACCUGAUGGAGCAAUGCCGCGUGAGUGAAGAAGGUCUUCGGAUCGUAAAGCUCUGUUGUUAGAGAAGAACACGUGCUAGGUAACUACUAGCGCCUUGACGGUAUCUAACCAGAAAGUCACGGCUAACUACGUGCCAGCAGCCGCGGUAAUACGUAGGUGACAAGCGUUGUCCGGAUUUAUUGGGCGUAAAGGGAGCGCAGGCGGUCUGUUUAGUCUAAUGUGAAAGCCCACGGCUUAACCGUGGAACGGCAUUGGAAACUGACAGACUUGAAUGUAGAAGAGGAAAAUGGAAUUCCAAGUGUAGCGGUGGAAUGCGUAGAUAUUUGGAGGAACACCAGUGGCGAAGGCGAUUUUCUGGUCUAACAUUGACGCUGAGGCUCGAAAGCGUGGGGAGCGAACAGGAUUAGAAACCCUUGUAGUCCCAUG